GAUGAACGCUGGCGGCGUGCUUAACACAUGCAAGUCGAACGAGAAAUGGAGACGGAAACCUUCGGGCGGAAGGCUUCAUUUCGAGUGGCGGACGGGUGAGUAACGCGUGGGUAACCUGCCUCAUACAGGGGGAUAACAGUUGGAAACGACUGUUAAUACCGCAUAAGACCACAGCACCGCAUGGUGCGGGGGUAAAAACUCCGGUGGUAUGAGAUGGACCCGCGUUCGAUUAGCCAGUUGGCGGGGUAACGGCCCACCAAAGCGACGAUCGAUAGCCGAUCUGAGAGGAUGACCGGCCACAUUGGGACUGAGACACGGCCCAAACUCCUACGGGAGGCAGCAGUGGGGAAUAUUGCACAAUGGGGGAAACCCUGAUGCAGCGACGCCGCGUGAGUGAAGAAGUACUUCGGUAUGUAAAGCUCUAUCAGCAGGGAAGAAAAUGACGGUACCUGAGUAAGAAGCCCCGGCUAACUACG
RNAcentral lists this ribosomal RNA (476 nucleotides) under uncultured bacterium. Its description in RNAcentral is "partial 16S ribosomal RNA". It matches the Rfam family "Bacterial small subunit ribosomal RNA", at positions 28 to 505 of the family's 1533-position model. The record is from RNAcentral.